Molecule: long non-coding RNA, 200 nt
Filed under: Lathyrus oleraceus (garden pea)
Lineage: Eukaryota; Viridiplantae; Streptophyta; Magnoliopsida; Fabales; Fabaceae
Description: Pisum sativum (pea) long non-coding RNA (PSAT_LNC008702)
Source: RNAcentral
AUCAUCCACGAGGAACAACUCAGUGGGGAAGAGGAGAAAGGUUAAAGUCUUUCUGCCUAAGGGGAUGACACUCUACAAUCGAGGGAGGACAGACACCGAGGUUCAUAUGGGGAUAAAGUACCGUCAUACAAAGAAUAAGAAUUUCAAAUCGACAGAUCAAACAAAUAUGAUGGUUCUAAUAUGCAAUUAUGAAAUCAUAU